AUGAUACUCCCUCCGUCCGAAAUACUUGUCAUCAAAAUGGAUAAAAGGAGAUGUAUCUACUAGAUAGAGAUCUAUCUAGUAGAUACAUCUCCUUUUAUCCAUUUUGAUGACAAGUAUUUUUGAAUGGAGGGAGUACUCU
Molecule: non-coding RNA, 139 nt
Organism: Triticum aestivum (bread wheat)
Lineage: Eukaryota; Viridiplantae; Streptophyta; Magnoliopsida; Poales; Poaceae
Source: Rfam